GAGGAAGAAACACAGAGGUCUUCCAUCUCUGGUUACCUCCCUGCUAGCUGCAACAACAGGAACUGGGCCCAUCUGAAGCCAGAGCCUGGCGCUUCUUCCAGGUGUGUCACGUGGUUGCAGGGACGCAAGCACUUGUGCCAUCCUAGCUGCUUUCCCAGGCUUGUUAGCACGGAGCUGGAUCAGAACUGGAGCAGCUGGGACUUGAACCAGUGCCCAUGUGGCAUGUCAGAACCUCAGACAGGUGCAGCUUCAGGGAUGAGAGUCAGGAUGUGAGCAGGGGCUGAUUUGGCAUAAGAGGCUAAGCUACUGCCUGCGAUGCCGGCAUCUCAUAUGGGAAAGAGGCAAAAUGCUUCUCCCAAGAUCCCACCAGCCAAAGAACUGGGAGAAAGCUCAACUCCUGAUUUGCUGGCCAAGUUCCAUGUUUCAUCUGCAGGAAGUCUCCUCAGCAGGUGCUGCUACUUCCCUGUUGGAGAUGCUGAGUACCCUCAGACAGGGCCAGGUUCCUGUCACAUUCAGGGAGUGAUGGGUACCAUGGCGGUUGUUGGUAUGAGCAUGAUGCCUUCUCUGGAGGUAGGUAGAGGGGUGCAUUUCAUUCCCAUGGCUGAACAGAACUGCCAGAGCGUAGUGU
Long non-coding RNA from Ochotona princeps (American pika), 628 nucleotides. RefSeq lists it as uncharacterized. The record is from RefSeq and is a predicted model, not a curated record. Lineage: Eukaryota; Metazoa; Chordata; Mammalia; Lagomorpha; Ochotonidae. The transcript is spliced from 3 exons.